Molecule: ribosomal RNA, 497 nt
Filed under: uncultured bacterium
Lineage: Bacteria
Description: partial 16S ribosomal RNA
Rfam family: Bacterial small subunit ribosomal RNA
Source: RNAcentral
GACGAACGCUGGCGGCGUGCCUAAUACAUGCAAGUUGAGCGCUGAAGGUUGGUACUUGUACCAACUGGAUGAGCAGCGAACGGGUGAGUAACGCGUGGGGAAUCUGCCUUUGAGCGGGGGACAACAUUUGGAAACGAAUGCUAAUACCGCAUAAAAACUUUAAACACAAGUUUUAAGUUUGAAAGAUGCAAUUGCAUCACUCAAAGAUGAUCCCGCGUUGUAUUAGCUAGUUGGUGAGGUAAAGGCUCACCAAGGCGAUGAUACAUAGCCGACCUGAGAGGGUGAUCGGCCACAUUGGGACUGAGACACGGCCCAAACUCCUACGGGAGGCAGCAGUAGGGAAUCUUCGGCAAUGGCCGAAAGUCUGACCGAGCAACGCCGCGUGAGUGAAGAAGGUUUUCGGAUCGUAAAACUCUGUUGGUAGAGAAGAACGUUGGUGAGAGUGGAAAGCUCAUCAAGUGACGGUAACUACCCAGAAAGGGACGGCUAACUACGUG